This 207-nucleotide ribosomal RNA is filed under the name uncultured Lactivibrio sp. RNAcentral's name for it is "partial 16S ribosomal RNA". It matches the Rfam family "Bacterial small subunit ribosomal RNA", at positions 568 to 774 of the family's 1533-position model. Lineage: Bacteria; Thermotogati; Synergistota; Synergistia; Synergistales; Aminobacteriaceae. The record is from RNAcentral.
CGCGUAGGCGGUCAUUUAAGUCAGCUGUGAAAUGGUUUGGCUUAACCCGGAUCAUGCGGUUGAAACUGGAUGACUGGAGUGCUGGAGAGGCAAGUGGAAUUCCCAGUGUAGCGGUGAAAUGCGUAGAUAUUGGGAAGAACACCGGUGGCGAAGGCGACUUGCUGGCCAGCAACUGACGCUGAGGCGCGAAAGCCAGGGGAGCAAACG